GGAGAUCGUGUGGAAGAAGGAGGAACAUUUGGCCAUUUAAGAAGUUUAGUGUUUCAUCAGCAUCACUCUAUAUGCCAAGAACCAUGAUGGAUGCCAGAGAUACAAUGGUCAUUAAGGGUGAUGCCGAUGAUGCUGGUCUGUGAACCACACUUUGAAUGUCAACGGUAUAGAGGGUCGUAUGGACAAAACAAAAUUUUGUGUGACUCAUUCCCAAGGAAGGAAACAGAAGUCCUAAACACAGUGCAUGUACUACAGGCUACACGGAGGAAGAAACACCAAUUCAG
Molecule: long non-coding RNA, 284 nt
Organism: Myotis brandtii (Brandt's bat)
Lineage: Eukaryota; Metazoa; Chordata; Mammalia; Chiroptera; Vespertilionidae
Exons: 3
Source: RefSeq, a predicted model, not a curated record